RNAcentral lists this ribosomal RNA (253 nucleotides) under uncultured bacterium. RNAcentral describes it as "partial 16S ribosomal RNA". It matches the Rfam family "Bacterial small subunit ribosomal RNA", at positions 524 to 776 of the family's 1533-position model. The record is from RNAcentral.
UACGUAGGUGGCAAGCGUUGUCCGGAAUUAUUGGGCGUAAAGCGCGCGCAGGCGGUCCUUUAAGUCUGAUGUGAAAGCCCACGGCUCAACCGUGGAGGGUCAUUGGAAACUGGGGGACUUGAGUGCAGGAGAGGAGAGUGGAAUUCCACGUGUAGCGGUGAAAUGCGUAGAGAUGUGGAGGAACACCAGUGGCGAAGGCGACUCUUUGGGCUGUAACUGACGCUGAGGCGCGAAAGCGUGGGGAGCAAACAGG